AGUGACUACGACAGGCUAAGAGCUGUGCCCUUCUACCAGGAGCUCAGGUGGCAGCUUCGAGUAGAGUAGUCCUCUUCUGGAAGGUGCUUUUGGUGACAGAGCAGCCACUUCUGGACCUAUCCUGACUGACUGUAAUGCAGUUCUUUGUCCUGCUGACAAUUCUUUGCUUAUUGUCACCCAGUUACAAAUGCUGACCUGUCCUCGAUGCUGACACAACAGUUGUAACCAAGACAGCUCCUGAACGAAACAGGAAAAACCCAUCCAUCUAUAGUGUGUUUAGACAUGGUUUCUAUGGAGAAGAAACAGUCUGGUUGCUUGGAAGUCUUCCGUGUACUCAUCCAGCUGUUUCCGGGUAAUAAAGUCUAUGAAGAAAUAAAGACCUCUGGGAGCUGGACUUGCAGGCCUAAAAGCAAAGGACCUGCUUUCUCAUGAGGCACCAUUUGACGCCACAAGCCCGAAGCAGCCUCUCUGUAAGUUGACUGCCUCAGAUAUUUACUGUGGAUACAGAGAGCUAACUACCACCAACCCAAAUGAUCCUGUGCUUAUUAAAAACGAAACAAAAGAAACGCAGAGACUUGCUCUUCAUUGGAAACACAGCACCUGACGUUUUAGUUACAGAAUACAAAAGGACGGGAGGAAGGAAACAGAGAAGUGAACUCUACCCAUGAUUGUACAUCCUAAGUGGAACCUACCUUCCUCUUCAUUUACCACGAAAGGCCAGCUGUCAUGGAAAGCUGUUCCUGUACCCAUUACCAUUCUUUUAUCAGAAAGGAAGAUAAAACCUUAACAAAAGAACAGAUGAUCUGAGGCUGCUGGUUCCCCCAACUCCAAAUCUGCUUCUGAGAGGAAGUUGCAUCCUUGCAGAAUUAUUAUUAUCAAUCAGCCUUUAUUGCUUCGGCUUUCUUUAUUGCAUUCUAACACACAAAGUAAUGAAAACAUAUAAUAAAG
RNAcentral lists this long non-coding RNA (948 nucleotides) under Mus spicilegus (steppe mouse). Its description in RNAcentral is "lncRNA (ENSMSIG00000003763.1)". The record is from RNAcentral. Lineage: Eukaryota; Metazoa; Chordata; Mammalia; Rodentia; Muridae.